This 497-nucleotide ribosomal RNA is filed under the name uncultured bacterium. RNAcentral's name for it is "partial 16S ribosomal RNA". It matches the Rfam family "Bacterial small subunit ribosomal RNA", at positions 28 to 507 of the family's 1533-position model. The record is from RNAcentral.
GAUGAACGCUGGCGGCGUGCCUAAUACAUGCAAGUCGAGCGAACGGACGAGAAGCUUGCUUCUCUGAUGUUAGCGGCGGACGGGUGAGUAACACGUGGAUAACCUACCUAUAAGACUGGAAUAACUUCGGGAAACCGGAGCUAAUACCGGAUAAUAUUUUGAACCGCAUGGUUCAAAAGUGAAAGACGGUCUUGCUGUCACUUAUAGAUGGAUCCGCGCUGCAUUAGAUAGUUGGUAAGGUAACGGCUUACCAAGGCAACGAUGCAUAGCCGACCUGAGAGGGUGAUCGGCCACACUGGAACUGAGACACGGUCCAGACUCCUACGGGAGGCGGCAGUAGGGAAUCUUCCGCAAUGGGCGAAAGCCUGACGGAGCAACGCCGCGUGAGUGAUGAAGGUCUUCGGAUCGUAAAACUCUGUUAUUAGGGAAGAACAUAUGUGUAAGUAACUGUGCACAUCUUGACGGUACCUAAUCAGAAAGCCACGGCUAACUACGUG